GUUAAUAAAAGUUUUAAAUAUUAUUCCUUCAUGAAAAUUUUCUUAUUACAUAGCGUUUUAACUCAGUUGUCUUCUCUACAUUAGGCAAACAUAAGAAAGAAGUUUGUAUUUAAGAGAUCUAUGGAGUAUGAGACUUUCUAGAUGUGUUUCCUGAUAAACUGCUCGAAUUGCUAAUAGACAGAAAAGUUGAGUUCACCAUAGAUCUUCAGCCUAAUACCUAGCCUAUCUCGGUUGCUCCUUACCACAUGACUCAUGUUGAGAUAGAAGAGUUGAGAAAAUAUAUUAAUGAAUUACAGGAUAG
Molecule: long non-coding RNA, 301 nt
Filed under: Carica papaya (papaya)
Lineage: Eukaryota; Viridiplantae; Streptophyta; Magnoliopsida; Brassicales; Caricaceae
Description: long non-coding RNA (CPAP_LNC011466)
Source: RNAcentral